AUCCAAUUGACGAGUCCUAAACAGGAUGAGACGCGUGUCCUGAAU
This 45-nucleotide non-coding RNA is filed under the name Schistosoma mansoni. Lineage: Eukaryota; Metazoa; Platyhelminthes; Trematoda; Strigeidida; Schistosomatidae. The record is from RNAcentral.